CUCCAGCUCAUUUUCUGGAUAUAAAUGUUACUGUGAAAUAGUUUGGUACAGAGGUGAUAUUUUCCAGCAAAAGAAGGGCAAAAUUUACCAGACUCACUGCAGAACUGGAUCCUCUUUUACCAUAAAGACACUUCUAUACUUAAUAGUCACAGUCUGUCUCCUCGGGCUGCCAAGAGGUCACAGGAGAGUCUUGCCCCAGCAUAGUGCCUGGAGGAGCAUGGGCCCCAUCUACGGGCUGAGAUCAGCUGCUCACACCCCCGCAGCAGGGACCAGAGCAAGAGCAGGAAGGGACCAGUGCUGAGCCAAAUCUAUUCACUGGGAGAAUGGAAUCUUCAAGGCUGUCUGCUGGUGAGCUGAAGUUGCUGACUUAGAAGGCUGAAAAAAUCGUACUCCAAGAUUUUGUAACUGGAUCAGCCCUUCCAUAAAAAUGAAUUAACACACUACAUGGGUAAG
RNAcentral lists this long non-coding RNA (453 nucleotides) under Coturnix japonica (Japanese quail). RNAcentral describes it as "lncRNA (ENSCJPG00005020956.1)". Lineage: Eukaryota; Metazoa; Chordata; Aves; Galliformes; Phasianidae. The record is from RNAcentral.